UGAGACUAUAAGAGGUCUCCGGUUUAUUAGACAUUUGGUCUAAAUAUAUAGGGUUCUUGGUAACCCAGGUUAGUAUCUAAGAUAGAUACAGGGUAUCUCAGGUAGAUACAGGUUUUUGAGACCAUAAGAGGUCUCCGUGUAACCCAAACUUCUCUUUCUCCCGGUCACCUUUGUUUGUCUUAAGUGUUCUUUGUGGGUGAUUGUUUGUCUAUAUUGGGGACACACUUUGGUAAGUUAGUAGUGUCCCCACUCUGAGUCAACAGUAUGGGAAAUGUGAGUUCAGGUCCUGAGUGACCAAUAUGUGUACAUGUAUAUGUGUGUGUAUGUAUAUAUGUGUGUAUAUAUGUAUAUGUGUAUAUAUAAGAUAGCAGUACUUUUAAACAAAU
Pelobates fuscus (common spadefoot toad) is the source of this 386-nucleotide long non-coding RNA. RefSeq lists it as uncharacterized. The transcript has 3 exons. The record is from RefSeq and is a predicted model, not a curated record. NCBI's taxonomy places the organism in Eukaryota, Metazoa, Chordata, Amphibia, Anura, Pelobatidae.